GAGGUUGUGGCUCAGCGGUAGAGCGCUCACCUCUCACAUGCGAGACCCUGAGUUCGAUCCUCAGCAUCA
This 69-nucleotide transfer RNA is filed under the name Ictidomys tridecemlineatus (thirteen-lined ground squirrel). Its description in RNAcentral is "Spermophilus tridecemlineatus (thirteen-lined ground squirrel) tRNA". It matches the Rfam family "tRNA". Rfam says of the family: Transfer RNA (tRNA) molecules are approximately 80 nucleotides in length. Their secondary structure includes four short double-helical elements and three loops (D, anti-codon, and T loops). Lineage: Eukaryota; Metazoa; Chordata; Mammalia; Rodentia; Sciuridae. The record is from Rfam by way of RNAcentral.